Molecule: ribosomal RNA, 1974 nt
Filed under: human gut metagenome
Description: bacterial LSU rRNA
Rfam family: Bacterial large subunit ribosomal RNA
Source: RNAcentral
UAAAGCAAGAAAGGGCGUAUGGGGAAUGCCUAGGCACACUCCGGCGAAGAAGGACGCAGCAAACAGCGAAAUGCGACGGUGAGCGGUAAGCACGUGAAGAGCCGUCGAUAUCCGAAUGGGGGAACCCACACGGAGUCAUAUCCGUGUAUCACAUGUCGAAUACAUAGACAUGAUGAGGCGAGACGCAGGGAACUGAAACAUCUAAGUACCUGCAGGAAGAGAAAAUAAGAAUGAUUUUCUGAGUAGCGGCGAGCGAAAGGGAAAGAGCCCAAACCGAUUUUAGGAUCGGGGUAGUAGGAUCAUCGAUAAAUCAAACAGAGGAUCAUAGAGGAAUCACAUGGGAAGGUGAGCGAGAGAGGGUGAGAGCCCCGUACUCGAAAUGAGAGACUGGAGAGAGAUGACACCUGAGUAGGGCGGGACACGAGAAAUCCUGUCUGAAUCAGCCGGGACCAUCCGGCAAGGCUAAAUACGAGAGAGUGACCGAUAGUGAACCAGUACCGUGAGGGAAAGGUGAAAAGAACCCCGGGAGGGGAGUGAAAGAGAACCUGAAACCAUAUGCCUACAAGAAGUCAGAGCCCGUUAAAGGGUGAUGGCGUGCCUUUUGUAGAAUGAACCGGCGAGUUACUGUAUGGAGCGAGGUUAAGCAGGAUAUGCGGAGCCGAAGCGAAAGCGAGUCUUAAGAGGGCGCGAGUUGCAUGCAGUAGACCCGAAACCGGGUGAUCUAGCCAUGACCAGGUUGAAGUUGGGGUAAAACCCGAUGGAGGACCGAACCGACCCCCGUUGAAACGUUGGCGGAUGAGUUGUGGCUAGGGGUGAAAUUCCAAUCGAACCCGGAGAUAGCUGGUUCUCCCCGAAAUAGCUUUAGGGCUAGCGUCGAGAGAAGAGUUGCGUGAAGGUAGAGCACUGAAUAUGUGAUGGCCCCAUCUCGGGGUACUGAGCAUAAUCAAACUGCGAAUGUCACGCCAACAUGCUCGGCAGUCAGACAGCGGGUGAUAAGGUCCGUUGUCAAGAGGGAAACAGCCCAGACCAUCAGCUAAGGUCCCAAAAUGUAUGCUAAGUGGAAAAGGAUGUGGAGAUGUACAGACAACUAGGAGGUUGGCUCAGAAGCAGCCAUCCUUUAAAGAGUGCGUAACAGCUCACUAGUCGAAUGACUCUGCGCCGAUAAUUUACCGGGGCUAAGCAUACUACCGAAGCUAUGGAUCCCAAGGGAUGGUAGGGGAGCGUUCCAUGAACGGAGAAGUACGACCGAAAGGACGUGUGGAGAUCAUGGAAGAGAGAAUGCCGGUGUGAGUAGCGGAACGUGGGUGAGAAUCCCACGCACCGAAAACCCAAGGUUUCCAGAGGAAGGUUCGUCCGCUCUGGGUAAGUCGGGACCUAAGGCGAGGCCGAAAGGCGUAGUCGAUGGACAACAGGUAGAUAUUCCUGUACCCGUAUAUAUGUGAAGGAAUGACGGAGAGAGGAAGCUGCAGCCAGCGGCUGGAAGAGCUGGUGCAAGCGAGAUAUCGGGAUGGCAGGCAAAUCCACCAUCCGAAACGAGAAGGCGUGAAGCGUACGGAAAGCUACGGCGAGUACGGAAGGCAGUGGAGGAACUUCCAAGAAAAGUUUCUAACGUUAAGUAUAUAUGGCCCGUACCGAAAAUGGACACACAUGGGUGAGGAGAGAAUCCUAAGGUGAGCGAGAGAACUAUAGCUAAGGAACUCUGCAAAAUGACUCCGUAACUUAGGGAGAAGGAGUGCUCAUAGAGAUAUGAGCCGCAGUGAAACGGCCCAAGCGACUGUUUACCAAAAACACAGCUCUCUGCUAAGCCGCAAGGCGAAGUAUAGGGGGUGACGCCUGCCCGGUGCUGGAAGGUUAAGGGGAGGGGUUAACGCAAGUGAAGCCCUGAACUGAAGCCCCAGUAAACGGCGGCCGUAACUAUAACGGUCCUAAGGUAGCGAAAUUCCUUGUCAGGUAAGUUCUGACCCGCACGAAUGG